CCUACGGGUGGCAGCAGUGGGGGAUAUUGCACAAUGGGGGAAACCCUGAUGCAGCGACGCCGCGUGGGUGAAGAAGCGCCUCGGCGCGUAAAGCCCUGUCAGCAGGGAAGAAAAUGACGGUACCUGAAGAAGAAGCCCCGGCUAACUACGUGCCAGCAGCCGCGGUAAUACGUAGGGGGCAAGCGUUAUCCGGAUUUACUGGGUGUAAAGGGGGCGCAUACGGUGAUGCAAGCCAGGAGUGAAAGCCCGGGGCCCAACCCCGGGACUGCUCUUGGAACUGCGUGGCUAGAGUGCAGGAGAGGCAGGCGGAAUUCCUGGUGUAGCGGUGAAAUGCGUAGAUAUCUGGAGGAACACCGGUGGCGAAGGCGGCCUGCUGGACUGCAACUGACGUUGAGGCCCGAAAGCGUGGGGAGCAAACAGGAUUAGAUACCCUUGUAGUC
Molecule: ribosomal RNA, 440 nt
Filed under: uncultured bacterium
Lineage: Bacteria
Description: partial 16S ribosomal RNA
Rfam family: Bacterial small subunit ribosomal RNA
Source: RNAcentral